AGAUUGAAGAUUAGAUUAUUAGAGGAGGUAGGAUUAGUGUAGCGGUGAAAUGCUAGAUAUCUGAGGAUACCGGUGGCGAGGCGGCCUCCUGACAGAGACUGACGUGAGAGCGAAAGCGUGGGAGCAAACAGGAUAGAUACCUGGUAGUCCACGCCGUAAACGAGUCAAUUAGAAGCAUGUGGCCGUGAGUUGUGUGUUUUAAGUAACGCGAUAAAUUGACCGCUUGGGGAGUACGGUCGCAAGGUUGAAAUCAAAGGAAUUGACGGGGCCCGCACAAGCGGAGGAACAUGUGGUUUAAUUCGAUGAUACGCGAGGAACCUUACCCGGGCUCGAACGGCAAGUGAAGAGAUUCAGAGAUGAUGACGUCCUUCGGGACACUUGUCGAGGUGCUGCAUGGUUGUCGUCAGCUCGUGCCGUGAGGUGUCGGCUCAAGUGCCAUAACGAGCGCAACCCUUGCCGUCAGUUACCAGCACGUAAAGGUGGGGACUCUGGCGGGACUGCCACCGCAAGGUGAGAGGAAGGGGGGGAUGACGUCAAAUCAGCACGGCCCUUACGCCCGGGGCGACACACGUGUUACAAUGGGCGCUACAGAGGGAAUCUACUUGGUGACAAGAUGGUAAUCUCGAAAAGCGCUCUCAGUCCGGAUCGGAGUCUGCAACUCGACCCCAUGAAGCUGGAUUCGCCAGUAAUCGCGCAUCAGCCAUGGCGCGGUGAAUACGUUCCCGG
This 726-nucleotide ribosomal RNA is filed under the name uncultured rumen bacterium. RNAcentral describes it as "bacterial SSU rRNA". It matches the Rfam family "Bacterial small subunit ribosomal RNA", at positions 630 to 1377 of the family's 1533-position model. The record is from RNAcentral.